AUUGAACGCUGGCGGCAUGCCUAACACAUGCAAGUCGAACGGUAACGCGGAGAGCUUGCUCUCUGGCGACGAGUGGCGGACGGGUGAGUAAUACUUGGGAAUCUGCCCAGUAGUGGGGGACAACAUUCGGAAACGGAUGCUAAUACCGCAUACGCACUACGGUGGAAAGUGGGGGAUCUUCGGACCUCACGCUAUUGGAUGAGCCCAAGUCGGAUUAGCUUGUAGGUAGGGUAAUGGCCUACCUAGGCGACGAUCCGUAGCUGGUCUGAGAGGACGAUCAGCCACACUGGGACUGAGACACGGCCCAGACUCCUACGGGAGGCAGCAGUGGGGAAUAUUGGACAAUGGGCGCAAGCCUGAUCCAGCAAUGCCGCGUGUGUGAAGAAGGCCUGCGGGUUGUAAAGCACUUUCAGUAGAGAAGAAAAGCCUAGGGUUAACACCCCUGAGUCUUGACGUAACCUACAGAAGAAGCACCGGCUAACUCCGUG
RNAcentral lists this ribosomal RNA (488 nucleotides) under uncultured bacterium. Its description in RNAcentral is "bacterial SSU rRNA". It matches the Rfam family "Bacterial small subunit ribosomal RNA", at positions 30 to 507 of the family's 1533-position model. The record is from RNAcentral.